RNAcentral lists this ribosomal RNA (251 nucleotides) under uncultured bacterium. Its description in RNAcentral is "partial 16S ribosomal RNA". It matches the Rfam family "Bacterial small subunit ribosomal RNA", at positions 524 to 776 of the family's 1533-position model. The record is from RNAcentral.
CACGUAGGGUGCGAGCGUUGUCCGGAAUUAUUGGCGUAAAGAGCUCGUAGGCGGUUUGUCGCGUCUGCUGUGAAAACUGGAGGCUCAACCUCCAGCCUGCAGUGGGUACGGGCAGACUAGAGUGCGGUAGGGGAGAUUGGAAUUCCUGGUGUAGCGGUGGAAUGCGCAGAUAUCAGGAGGAACACCGAUGGCGAAGGCAGAUCUCUGGGCCGUAACUGACGCUGAGGAGCGAAAGCAUGGGAGCGAACAGG